This 110-nucleotide ribosomal RNA is filed under the name Escherichia coli. RNAcentral's name for it is "partial 23S ribosomal RNA". It matches the Rfam family "Bacterial large subunit ribosomal RNA", at positions 2813 to 2925 of the family's 2925-position model. The record is from RNAcentral. Lineage: Bacteria; Pseudomonadati; Pseudomonadota; Gammaproteobacteria; Enterobacterales; Enterobacteriaceae.
CCUUGAGAGUCCUGAAGGAACGUUGAAGACGACGACGUUGAUAGGCCGGGUGUGUAAGCGCAGCGAUGCGUUGAGCUAACCAGUACUAAUGAACCGUGAGGCUUAACCUU